RNAcentral lists this ribosomal RNA (496 nucleotides) under Ligypterus pernambucensis. Its description in RNAcentral is "partial 16S ribosomal RNA". It matches the Rfam family "Bacterial large subunit ribosomal RNA", at positions 1832 to 2582 of the family's 2925-position model. Lineage: Eukaryota; Metazoa; Arthropoda; Insecta; Orthoptera; Gryllidae. The record is from RNAcentral.
UCUUCUUGUAUGAAUUGGAGGUUGGGCCUGUCCACUGAUUUUUUUAAAGGGCCGCGGUAUUUUGACCGUGCAAAGGUAGCAUAAUCAUUAGUCUUUUAAUUGAAGGCUGGAAUGAAUGGUUUGACGAAAUAAUAACUGUCUACUAAUUAAUAUUGAUUUGAAUUUUAUUUUUAAGUUAAAAGGCUUAAAUGAUGAAGAGGGACGAGAAGACCCUAUAGAUCUUUAUAGUUAUUUUUGUGGAGUUGAUUUUAGUUGUGGAAUUUUUGCUUUAUGAAAAUAAAUUAUUUUAUUGGGGUGAUAUGAGAAUAUUUAAACUUCUUAAUUUUUAACAUUGAUUGAUGGAUAAGGGAUCCUAUAUUAUGGAAUAAAGAUUAAGAUACCUUAGGGAUAACAGCGUAAUUUUGUUGGAAAGUUCUUAUUGAUAAUGGAGAUUGCGACCUCGAUGUUGGAUUAAAAAUAUGUAUUGGUGUAGGUGCUAAUUAUAAUUGGUCUGUUC